UUCGCCGUCUGCCGCGAGGCGAGCAAGCGCAUCUUGAAAAUGCGCCAUUUCGAUGUUCAGCUCAUCGGCGGCAUGG
This 76-nucleotide transfer RNA is filed under the name Caballeronia fortuita. Its description in RNAcentral is "tRNA-Ser". The record is from RNAcentral. Lineage: Bacteria; Pseudomonadati; Pseudomonadota; Betaproteobacteria; Burkholderiales; Burkholderiaceae.